AUCCACUUCUAAGAGCAUAUGUUUCAUUCCAGCAGUGCGUGGACGAAAGUGUAUCUGUUCUGUGCAGCAGCUUAUGUGCCCUCAGAUGAUCCAGAAAGUAUCACAGACCCCUUUCUAGCUAUGUAUGGCAGAAACUCCUGCCUGGAGAAAUAGACUCAAAGGUGAAGAUUGAAAUGCUGCUUGAAGAGUUUCAAAGAGGAGACAAAGAGCUGGGGCAGGUCAUAACACACAAGCAUUUCAGCUUUAAAAAUCAGCAAGAACAGGAUAAGGAAAAUGUCGUUCCUUUGAAUUUACGUGCAUUCCACGGUUUUCUUCAACACAAAUAUACUCAAGUCCACUGAGAAGAUAGAGUUGCUUACCUGUG
Molecule: long non-coding RNA, 364 nt
Filed under: Parus major (Great Tit)
Lineage: Eukaryota; Metazoa; Chordata; Aves; Passeriformes; Paridae
Description: lncRNA (ENSPMJG00000013550.1)
Source: RNAcentral